AUUGAACGCUGGCGGCAGGCUUAACACAUGCAAGUCGAGCGAGCGGCGGAAGGGAGAGUAAUGUCUGGGAAACGGCCUGAUGGAGGGGGAUAACUACUGGAAACGGUAGCUAAUACCGCAUACCAUCAGAUGUGCCCAGAUGGGAUGAGGUAGUGGGUGGGGUAAUGGCUCACCAAGGCGACGAUCCCUAGCUGGUCUGAGAGGAUGACCAGUCACACUGGAACUGAGACACGGUACAGACUCCUACGGUAGGCAGCAGUGGGGAAUAUUGCACAAUGGGCGCAAGCCUGAUGCAGCCAUGCCGCGUGUAUGAAGAAGGCCUUAGGGUUGUAAAGUACUUUCAGCGGGGAGGCGUUACCCGCAGAAGAAGCACCGGCUAACUUCGUGCCAGCCGCCGCGGUAAUUC
This 406-nucleotide ribosomal RNA is filed under the name uncultured bacterium. Its description in RNAcentral is "partial 16S ribosomal RNA". It matches the Rfam family "Bacterial small subunit ribosomal RNA", at positions 30 to 526 of the family's 1533-position model. The record is from RNAcentral.